This 440-nucleotide ribosomal RNA is filed under the name uncultured Geobacillus sp. RNAcentral describes it as "bacterial SSU rRNA". It matches the Rfam family "Bacterial small subunit ribosomal RNA", at positions 942 to 1382 of the family's 1533-position model. The record is from RNAcentral. Lineage: Bacteria; Bacillati; Bacillota; Bacilli; Caryophanales; Anoxybacillaceae.
UGGUUAAUUCGAAGCAACGCGAAGAACCUUACCAGGUCUUGACAUCCCCUCGACAACCCAAGAGAUUGGGCGUUCCCCUCGGGGGACAGGGUGACAGGUGGUGCAUGGUUGUCGUCAGCUCGUGUCGUGAGAUGUUGGGUUAAGUCCCGCAACGAGCGCAACCCUCGCCUCUAGUUGCCAGCAUUCGGUUGGGCACUCUAGAGGGACUGCCGGCGACAAGUCGGAGGAAGUGGGGAUGACGUCAAAUCAUCAUGCCCCUUAUGACCUGGGCUACACACGUGCUACAAUGGGCGGUACAAAGGGCUGCGAACCCGCGAGGGGGGAGCGAAUCCCAAAAAGCCGCUCUCAGUUCGGAUUGCAGGCUGCAACUCGCCUGCAUGAAGCCGGAAUCGCUAGUAAUCGCGGAUCAGCAUGCCGCGGUGAAUACGUUCCCGGGCCUU